This 445-nucleotide ribosomal RNA is filed under the name uncultured bacterium. Its description in RNAcentral is "bacterial SSU rRNA". It matches the Rfam family "Bacterial small subunit ribosomal RNA", at positions 354 to 796 of the family's 1533-position model. The record is from RNAcentral.
GUGAGGAAUAUUGGGCAAUGGGCGCAAGCCUGACCCAGCCAUGCCGCGUGCAGGAUUAAGGCCCUCGUGGUUGUAAACUGCUUUUAUACAGGAUGAACCUCUUGAACGUGUUCAAGACUGACAGUACUGUAAGAAUAAGGAUCGGCUAACUCCGUGCCAGCAGCCGCGGUAAUACGGAGGAUCCAAGCGUUAUCCGGAUUUAUUAGGUUUAAAGGGUGCGUAGGCGGAAAGGUAAGUCAGCGGUGAAAUCCCAUAGCUUAACUGUGGAACUGCCAUUGAUACUGCCAUUCUUGAGUACAGUUGAGGUGGGCGGAAUGUGUCAUGUAGCGGUGAAAUGCUUAGAUAUGACACAGAACGCCAAUUGCGUAGGCAGCUCACUAAACUGCCACUGACGCUGAGGCACGAAAGCGUGGGGAUCAAACAGGAUUAGAUACCCGUGUAGUCC